CCUACGGGAGGCAGCAGUGAGGACUAUUGGUCAAUGGCCGGAAGGCUGAACCAGCCAUGCCGCGUGAAGGUCAGUGCCCUAUGGGCGUUUAACUUCUUUUUUGCGGGAGCCAUAUUUGUCAAGUGUGGCCAGACGAGAGUUCCCUUCGAAUAAGCAUCCGCUUACCUCGUGUCCGCAGCCCCGGUUAUACGGGGGAUGCACGCGGUUUUCGGAUUUAUUGGGUUUUAAGGGGUCGGAGGCUGGGAGGUAAGUCAGCGGUUAAAUGCUCCGGGUCAAAGGGGUGAAGUGCCGUUGAUACUGGCUUGCGGGAAUGCGGAUGCGGUAGGAGGAAUGUGUGGUGUAGCGGUGAAAUGCAUAGAUAUCACGCAGAACACCGAUUGCGAAGGCAUCUCACGAAGCCGCAAUUGACGCUGAAGCACGAAAGCGUGGGUAUCAAACAGGAUUAGAUACCCGAGUAGUC
This 460-nucleotide ribosomal RNA is filed under the name uncultured bacterium. RNAcentral's name for it is "partial 16S ribosomal RNA". It matches the Rfam family "Bacterial small subunit ribosomal RNA", at positions 338 to 795 of the family's 1533-position model. The record is from RNAcentral.